CUGAACUCUGAAAUAAGCAAAACUAACUACUCUAAACAGUGAUGAUGAUUUUAUAUAGACAUAUAUAUAUAUAUAUAUAUAUAGAAUUAGGCUGGAAUACUAUUAAUAGUAAAACGCUCUUUUUGCUUUAACCCUUGGAUAAAAAAUUAUAGGGUCAGGAUGAUAUUAAUUAGUUAGAGUUAAGUGGUCCCCCCUAGGGUUGAGUGGUCCCCACUUGGUUAUAGUAUUUAAUCCAAUGGUUAGAAAUAAUGAAAAGAGUUAAUUCAAAGGCUAAAAAACUGAUAGCAACAAUGGAAUUUUGCUACUAAUAGUAGCCCAGUCCAACUCUCUCUCUCUCUCUCUCUCUCUCUCUCUCUCUAUAUAUAUAUAUAUAUAUAUAUAUAUGGGAGGCUACUAUAUAGGCUGGGCUAUACUCAUAUGAGUAUAGAGCCCUUUGUACUCAUAAAUUUUUGACCGUUCAGAUAAAAAAAUAUACGGUUAGGAUGAAAAUGGUUACGGUUAGAUUGAUAGUAGGCCUCCUAAGGUUGAGUGGGUGGUUGGUUGAAUAGUAUAAUCCAACGGGUGAAAAUGAUUAAAGGGUAUAUCUAACAGCAAAAAAAUUAUGAGUACAAUAGGCUCUAUACUCAUAAAAGUAUAGUAGCCGGAUUCUAUAUAUAUAUAUAUAUAU
Molecule: long non-coding RNA, 667 nt
Filed under: Ananas comosus (pineapple)
Lineage: Eukaryota; Viridiplantae; Streptophyta; Magnoliopsida; Poales; Bromeliaceae
Description: long non-coding RNA (ACOM_LNC007810)
Source: RNAcentral